UGGGGAAUUUUGGACAAUGGGCGAAAGCCUGAUCCAGCCAUGCCGCGUGCAGGAUGAAGGCCUUCGGGUUGUAAACUGCUUUUGUACGGAACGAAAAGACUCUGGUUAAUACCUGGGGUCCAUGACGGUACCGUAAGAAUAAGCACCGGCUAACUACGUGCCAGCAGCCGCGGUAAUACGUAGGGUGCAAGCGUUAAUCGGAAUUACUGGGCGUAAAGCGUGCGCAGGCGGUUAUAUAAGACAGAUGUGAAAAUCCCCGGGCUCAACCUGGGAACUGCAUUUGUGACUGUAUAGCUAGAGUACGGCAGAGGGGGGAUGGAAUUUCCGCGUGUAGCAGUGAAAUGCGUAGAUAUGCGGAGGAACACCGAUGGCGAAGGCAAUCCCCUGGGCCUGUACUGACGCUCAUGCACGAAAGCGUGGGGAGCAAACAGGAUUAGAUACCCUGGUAGUCCACGCCCUAAACGAUGUCAACUGGGUUGUUGGGUCUUCACUGACUCAGUAACGAAGCU
This 509-nucleotide ribosomal RNA is filed under the name uncultured bacterium. RNAcentral describes it as "partial 16S ribosomal RNA". It matches the Rfam family "Bacterial small subunit ribosomal RNA", at positions 355 to 853 of the family's 1533-position model. The record is from RNAcentral.